UACAAAACAGAGUACCCGUACUCUACAACCCUUUGUGAACAUACCAAACGUCAGUUGCCUCGGCGGGAGGCCCCUGGGAGGGGCCCCGGGGCCCGGCCUGAGCCGGGCUCCCGCCGGGGGGGCGCAACCAAAACUUUUGCUGUACCAACAGUGGCAACUCCGAGUAAAAAACAAAAAAACAAGUUAAAACUUUCAACAACGGAUCUCUUGGUUCUGGCAUCGAUGAAGAACGCAGCGAAAUGCGAUAAGUAAUGUGAAUUGCAGAAUUCAGUGAAUCAUCGAAUCUUUGAACGCACAUUGCGCCCGCCAGUAUUCUGGCGGGCAUGCCUGUUCGAGCGUCAUUUCAACCCCUCGGGCCCUGGUGCCCGGCGUCGGGGCGUUCCCCCCCCAGCGGGGGGAACCCCUCAGAGAGAGUGGCGGACCCGCCGCGGCUCCGAGCGCAGUAGUAAAAUUCUCGCUAUGGAGGUCCGCGGGGGGGCUCCCGGCCGUAAAGCCCGGUCUCCGGACCAUCUACACAAGGUUGACCUCGGAUCAGGUAGGAAUACCCGCUGAACUUAAGCAUAUCAAUAAGCGGAGGAAAAGAAACCAACAGGGAUUGCCCCAGUAACGGCGAGUGAAGCGGCAACAGCUCAG
This 633-nucleotide ribosomal RNA is filed under the name fungal endophyte. RNAcentral describes it as "eukaryotic LSU rRNA". The stretch from base 188 to 341 matches the Rfam family "5.8S ribosomal RNA". Lineage: Eukaryota; Fungi. The record is from RNAcentral.